This 72-nucleotide transfer RNA is filed under the name Armillaria ostoyae. It matches the Rfam family "tRNA". From Rfam's summary of the family: Transfer RNA (tRNA) molecules are approximately 80 nucleotides in length. Their secondary structure includes four short double-helical elements and three loops (D, anti-codon, and T loops). Further hydrogen bonds mediate the characteristic L-shaped molecular structure. tRNAs have two regions of fundamental functional importance: the anti-codon, which is responsible for specific mRNA codon recognition, and the 3' end, to which the tRNAs corresponding amino acid is attached (by aminoacyl-tRNA synthetases). tRNAs cope with the degeneracy of the genetic code in two manners: having more than one tRNA (with a specific anti-codon) for a particular amino acid; and 'wobble' base-pairing, i.e. permitting non-standard base-pairing at the 3rd anti-codon position. Lineage: Eukaryota; Fungi; Basidiomycota; Agaricomycetes; Agaricales; Physalacriaceae. The record is from RNAcentral.
UCUCUGGUAGUAUAUCGGCUAGUACACGCACCUGUCACGCGCGAAAGCUGGGUUCGACUCCCAGCCAGAGAG